CACAUUCGCUAGGGGUGUUGAGACCAUUGCCGGUCUCGACUGAGAAAGUCCCUUUGAACCUGAUUGAGGUAAUCCUCGCGCAGGGAAGCUGGCCAUAGAAACG
Molecule: non-coding RNA, 103 nt
Filed under: Betaproteobacteria bacterium MOLA814
Lineage: Bacteria; Pseudomonadati; Pseudomonadota; Betaproteobacteria
Also listed under: 1 other name
Description: TPP riboswitch aptamer (THI element)
Rfam family: TPP riboswitch aptamer (THI element)
About the family: Vitamin B(1) in its active form thiamin pyrophosphate (TPP) is an essential coenzyme that is synthesised by coupling of pyrimidine and thiazole moieties in bacteria. The previously detected thiamin-regulatory element, thi box was extended, resulting in a new, highly conserved RNA secondary structure, the THI element, which is widely distributed in eubacteria and also occurs in some archaea.
Source: Rfam by way of RNAcentral